RNAcentral lists this ribosomal RNA (491 nucleotides) under uncultured bacterium. Its description in RNAcentral is "partial 16S ribosomal RNA". It matches the Rfam family "Bacterial small subunit ribosomal RNA", at positions 29 to 507 of the family's 1533-position model. The record is from RNAcentral.
AGUGAACGCUGGCGGUAGGCCUAACACAUGCAAGUCGAACGGCAGCACAGUAAGAGCUUGCUCUUACGGGUGGCGAGUGGCGGACGGGUGAGGAAUACAUCGGCAUCUACUUUUUCGUGGGGGAUAACGUAGGGAAACUUACGCUAAUACCGCAUACGACCUACGGGUGAAAGCAGGGGAUCUUCGGACCUUGCGCGAUUGAAUGAGCCGAUGUCGGAUUAGCUAGUUGGCGGGGUAAGGCCCACCAAGGCGACGAUCCGUAGCUGGUCUGAGAGGAUGAUCGGCCACACUGGAACUGAGACACGGUCCAGACUCCUACGGGAGGCAGCAGUGGGGAAUAUUGGGCAAUGGGCGCAAGCCUGAUCCAGCCAUACCGCGUGAGUGAUGAAGGCCUUCGGGUUGUAAAGCCCUUUUGUUAGGAAAGAAAAGAAGCAGGUGAAUACCCCGCUGUUCUGACGGUACCCAAUGAAUAAGCACCGGCUAACUUCGUG